Molecule: ribosomal RNA, 439 nt
Filed under: uncultured bacterium
Lineage: Bacteria
Description: partial 16S ribosomal RNA
Rfam family: Bacterial small subunit ribosomal RNA
Source: RNAcentral
CUACGGGAGGCAGCAGUGGGGAAUAUUGCACAAUGGAGGAAACUCUGAUGCAGCAACGCCGCGUGGAGGAUGACACUUUUCGGAGCGUAAACUCCUUUUAUAUAGGAAGAGGAUGACGGUACUAUAUGAAUAAGCGCCGGCUAACUCCGUGCCAGCAGCCGCGGUAAUACGGAGGGCGCAAGCGUUACUCGGAAUCACUGGGCGUAAAGAGCGUGUAGGCGGAUUAAAAAGUCAGAAGUGAAAUCCUAUAGCUUAACUAUAGAACUGCUUCUGAAACUCUUAAUCUAGAAUAUGGGAGAGGUAGAUGGAAUUUCUGGUGUAGGGGUAAAAUCCGUAGAGAUCAGAAGGAAUACCGAUUGCGGAGGCGAUCUACUAGAACAUUAUUGACGCUGAGACGCGAAAGCGUGGGGAGCAAACAGGAUUAGAUACCCUCGUAGUC